GCGUGCGUGGCUGUCUCUUGUCAUGGCAGGCUAAUAAUGCUUCCACUACUGAAAAUGGGGUCGUGUGCACUCUUCUGACAAUGCUGUGCCGGCCCAGGGGCUUGAUUGUGUGCCGUGCUCAUGGUUUCAUUAAAAGAGAGAAGGGAGAAGAGAGUGACGGAAAUGAGGGAUAAAUGAAGUGGAGGACAGAUGAAUAGUGAAGUGUGCAUGUAUUAAUAUGUGUGUAUCUGUUUGAUGUGUUUUUCCACUAUAGUGAACCUGUGUACCUACGUGUUGUCACGUAAAGGUGCUUGUGUGAAUGAAUGCACAUGAGCAACACGCCGGACAGGCCACAUAUUGUCCCUGCUAGCUGUGUUUCCAUGGUGACAGCAAGGGUUGGUGCUAGCAGCAAGGUGUGAAGGAACCUUCCAGAUAACCCUGAAGGUCAGCUCACAGAGCUUCAGCUCGCAGCACUACUCUGUACUGACGCACCUAACCGUCUCUGUGUGUGUGUGUGUGUGUGUGUGUGUGUGUGUGUGUGUGUGUGUGUGUGUGUGUGUGUGUGUGUGUGUGUGUGUGUGUGUGUGUGUGUGUGUGUGUGUGUGUGAGAGAGAGAAAGAGAGUGAGUGUUAUGAUGCAUUUCCACUUAUAUAUGGACAUGGUUGGCCACCCUCGGAAUGACAGAAGCUUGUUAUCGCGCGCACACACAUACAUAUUGCACACAUACGCAGUCACACAGUAGACACACAGAAUAUUAAUGGACUUAUAAUAUGCCCUCAAACUUGUUCCUGGACAUAAAUAAACAUUCACACAAGUGGUAGUCAAUGUGAACGUAGUAGUAGAGUGUAUUUGUCAAUGAUCUGUUGAUCACAGUUUGAUUCUCACUUGCCACCAUGGCAUCGAUCUUGACAUAACAUUUACAGCGCCACUGACCAAUCCAUACAAUACACGCUCUAUUAUAGAAAUCUAGUAACUAGAUACUGAAACCAAUGAAAUAUAUUUAGGAGUGAGUGCCUGUGUGCGUCCGUCAGUCCAGUUUUGUGUGUGAGCCAGCAACAAACUCUGCUUCCUUACCAGGGAUUAGCCAGCUCUAACCGAACAGACACAAUCCACAUAUCACCAAAUAAAGCCAGAACCAUAUUAGACGUUUCAGCCAGUGACUCUCAUAUCCCUCCUCUCUCUGACAUUUCUUUACAAAUACCAGCCCCUAUUCACUCUGUUAUUGCCUUCUCCUAUACAGCAAUUCUCUGAUUAAACAAGCUCCUGAAAAGACCAGGCCCUGCUAUCUGCCAUUUGGCUUUUAUUAGAAACCCACCCUUUAAUUAAAUUGGCUAAAUUACAGAAAUAUCAGGGAUAGUUCACCAAUAUAUGGGAUAAGAGAGCACAAUGGGUGAAAAAAAUAUGGGAUAAGAGAGCACAAUGGGUGAAAAAAAAAAAGCAAGACUGGGCUUUAUGAGAUGUUUUGAAUGCGGUUUGGUGGUGAAAUGAGAUAAACACAAUCUUGAUAGUGGGGUGAUUUUUUCUUUUUUUUUCUUUUUUUAAGGAACUCGAUGUUUGUUUGAUCUGGAUGAGUCUCUUCACCAAAUGUGUGUCACAGCUGACACUCUCAGUGCCUGUCAUUUUAUUUAAUAGCAUUUUUAAGAACUGGAUUUAUUUUUUCCACUGCCUCCUUCUAGUCCGACUCUACUCUCAACCCUGCACCUUCAGUGCCUUUCUUUUCCCGCCUUAUUACUGUGAAAGAUUGGUGAUUGAGGUUGCCUUGGUAACCGGCCCCACUUUGAUUGGGGGAGACAGCUGCAUGGUGCGAGGUUAGAAGAUGGCUGUUCACGUCUCACAAUGCGCCACUAUUGAUUUCCAGUCCUUGUCAAUUACUGGGCCCAGCUGACUAAAACGGGCUGGAAGAAAAUGUGCAUAAAGCAGGUGUGUGUGUGUGUGUGUGUGUGUGUGUGUGUGUGUGUGUGUGUGUGUGUGUGUGUGUGUGUGUGUGUGUGUGUGUGUGUGUGUGUGUGUGUGUGUGUGUGUUUUGGAGGGGUUACUGUAAUGCUCACUCUGCAGCCAACAUACAGUAUUUAUCUUGCUUUUUUUCACCCAUUUAAGUGCAGGUGUUUGUCUGAAAAACAAUUAUUUGAGUUGUUGCCAUACAGUAGCUUUAAUCUCUCAGAAAUCCUGUAGUUUGAGCUGGAGACAAGUUUGACAGUCAGCCACAGAGCCUAAUGUAUAUACGUUUUAGCGGCCCUGCACCCUCUUCUUUGUUCAGCUCUUGAAACGCUGUUUGUCCGCUGUUCUUUCUCAUCCAGCUGAAGAGGUGUCGGCAAAUGAGAGGUAUUCAGUCAGACUUUGACAAACUGCUGCCCUUUGUAAAGACUUAAUGGGGAUCAAUUCAAGUAAAGUUAGACACUUGUAGAAUUCACAUGCCGUCACAUAAUGCUCAGUCACACAUACACACACAUUCCCACACGUACCUAUUUCUUUUUGAAAUUCACCCACUGCUAGUCUUUUGCCCUACACUUUUCCCUAUCAUCUUUUCUUCUCUUUUCUCAGCCAACUUGGCAUUGUAUAUGUGAGAAGUCGACAGUGAGACUAAUUGGAGUGUGUGGCUCCAUCAAUGACAGUCACCAUUCUGUUUCUACACGCAGCACACGCUCACAUGGAGCUCAAUAGCUAAUUGAAUAUUCUUUUAUUAAACUGUGUUAAUGUGAACUGGAACUGGCUGCUGGUGAACUGAAUUCGACCCCCCACCACAACCGUACACAUAAACACACCCAGCUCAGUGGAGCAGUUGGAUGGAUGACGCCUCAGCUUAGAGGGAGGAAGAAGAAGAAGAAGAGUAAACAAGAGGAAAAUGAGAGGUGAGUGUUUUGGUACAUUCAAUGUAAGGUUUGUGAUUUAGAAGUGUGUGAAAUGUGUAAAAGUUGUAUAGGCUAAAACUAUCACAUGGUUAGAUAGCACUACUAGUAAAGUAGAAAAAAUUUGUUUUUGUGUGUUGUGAUUUGGACACCUUUAUCUUGAAGACUCAGCACUGGAUCACAUUUGGCUCAGAAGUUUGCCUUUCCACAAAACUCUGAUGCACUUAUUUCCAUGUAAAGUCCGAAAAAGUGAGAUUCAGCCUACUUUCACAAACAAAUGACGUGUAUACUCUGGCACUGCUAGGGGACACAACUAUGUCAUGGCAGGUGUGUAUUGAUCAGGAACCCAAGAAAGCGCAGUGUCGGGUGUGAAGUUUGGAUGAGUGGUUCUCUUGAAAGCUGCAAGCAGAAAUACCAGAGGCAAAGCAAUCGGCCGAACAGGUCCGAACAGGCAUGUUUUGAACGGGCACUAGUUCUCUUAAUGCGGCGCCAGGGCUGUUUCAUUUUUUGGCCACACCCCAAUCAGUGAUGUUACCAUAAAUGUUGUAUUUGAAAGCUGAAGGUACUUUUAGAUUUGCAUUGAAUAAAGCUGCUGCUUCACUGCUUUUAGCUGUCAGAGUGAAAGCCUGAAGGGGUGGGACAAUAAGUGAAAACAAGUAAAUAAUGAUAGCUGUUGUAUAUAAGUGUUUGCUGAUUAUGAUGCAUAUUAUUGUUUGACUGUGGCCUGGGCGAACAAGAUAUUGCACAAAGCUAAACACACCUUUCUCAUAAUGCAACGCCUUAGCAUCCUGGUCUGUUAAAUUGUCUCCUCUUUCACCCGAGGGACGGAUACUAACACCUGUGCUGCAAAUAUCUGGAAGUGACAUGAUGUGAUUUAUGUUUGGACAAUUAUCUAAUAAGAAUAAGCAUCUGCUACCAAACCACGAUGGGCCUGCAUCUGCAAGCAUUUUAAGUCUUACAUUUUUUUGUGUGGAGUUUUCCUUUGAUUACACAUAGUGAAAUGACUCCCCAUCAUUUUAUGCUUGAUGUUAGCUGCACUGAGUGUACUGUCUUCAUUUGACCCCCAGGGAGACCCACUUUCUGUUUCAUCCAGCAUCCACAGACAAAGACCCAGAAUACAAAGGGUGGUAGGACUAGAGAGAAUGUAGAGAUAAACUGGGGGGCCCUGAAGCAGCAGGGAGCCUGACCCAAGCGCGUGGAGUGAAACUAGGGCGGACACAGCACGUGACUGAGGGUGGAGCAGUUCAAUAACCCUACACUGUCAUGGCUGACACUGGAGGAGCAGAGCAGCUCUGGAAGAAAGGCAACAAAAAGAAAAGGAGAAGGCUGAACUAACCCAAUAUGCCAGUGAAGACAGAGGGUAAGGAAAGGGAACUAGGGAAAGAGGUCAAGGUUAUGAAGGACAAAGUAUUUCAUCUGGCCGCUGGGGCGGAGAGAGAGACAGAGUGGGUGAGGUUAAGAGAAAGAGUCGGAGAGACAGUCCACUGAGGCAGCUUGGAGAAGAUAGCUCCCUCCUUUCUGCUUUAUUAUAUUACGCUGGUGGAUAAAAAGAAUACGACAUCCUCUAAAGUCAUUACAGCCCAGUAAGACUGGCUCAGAGGGCAAUGCAGCUCCUUAACCCCGCUCAGCACAUGCCUGGAUGUGUGUGCGUCUCUCAGAGGGUUAUUGAAUGAGAGAAAGGGUGUGCGCACGUCUGAAAGACUGAGCAGGCCUGUUUAUGUGUGUGUGUGUGUGUGUGUGUCUAUGCUUGCACACACAUUCACCAAACCAAAGUGGCACAUCACUUAAUCCUUCCCCAGUAACUAGGAUAAGCCACCAGUCUUAUCUUUCCUUCUCCCCCUUCGUUCUUUCCCUCACUCUUUUUUUUUUCCUCUGGAAACUAUUGUCCCUUUUCCCGUCAUGCCCCCCCACACCCCUCCCUCUUUCAUUCUUAUUAUUACCCUCCUCAGCCCCAGACUUUAAUGCCUCAUUAUUCUGUAUUUAGGGCCUGGAAUCUUCUCUUGCACCGGCAGUAGGGGCUAACAUGGAUUCUACAUUUCUUUAUUGCCAGGCUGUGCACAGGAUUUGAGAGAAGCUUUCCGGGUGGACAAGGAUUUUGCUGCCAUCAUCAGCCAUGCUGCAGGCUCCUGGCAAGGAGUGAUAUUUUGAUAUUAUGCCAGGAAGUGCCGCUACAACUACCCUUGGGAAUGGAGCAACAGGUCUAGUAUCUGAGUUUACAUUGAGUUGUAGGUGCAGUAAAUGUGUGGCUUGUUUUUAAAGCAACCAACAGUUUCAGCAGCGGCCAAGUGUAGUGUAUCAGUGACUAUCCUAACAUUCUCAGUUCAUAUACAUAAAUGUCAGAGGCUGUCAUAAUAAUAAAAGGUAUGGAUAUUACAUUUCAUUCAUUUUCACCCAUCUAAUGUAACAUUCUUCUUUUCCCUUCCACUCUUUUUGCUCAAUGUCCAUUGUCUUUCAUUUCCCCCAGAUCUACCAAUAACACCAGUGCUUCAUCACCUUAAGUAGCAUCAAAAUUAGUAAGGAAAAAAGUGAAAUGAUUAGAGCACUUGGAGGACUCAAAUAUUAGUGUACCUAUGUGCAUUUUUGUUAUUAACAUCUAAUUGUUGACUGCUUUAUUCCAUGCAUGACCCUUGCCAAACUUUCUUUAAUUUUCUACCAAUCUUUGCCAUUCCCAGUUCGGAUUGAGAGUCUAAGGUGUGGGGGAAUUUUUGUUAAUUUAUAACAUUAAGAUACAGUCAGUGUGAUGCCCUUUGAGACUUUAUCUGCAAUUAAGGGCACAGGUAUAAAAUAAGUAGGGUAACUAAUUCGUACAAAUUGUCAUCCGACCAAAAGGCAAAAGUGUUUAUACCUGUUCACAACAGCCUCACGCCGGGGUGAAAAGCUUGCCAUCAGAAAACGGGUCAAGAUGUGAUGAAUAGUACAAACGCAAAUAACGACACACUUUCACACAGUCUCACCUCAAAUGUAUAUGUAUUCAUGGCGUCACACUCGUUUCUACACAUAAAAAGUGACACAAGCGACUGUACAGACACUUUGUUUGAAGCAUACUGUCAUCUUAAAACUGGUCUGGUCAGGCAGUUACACUGACCAUUUGACACACUUAUAACACACUCAUUUUUUCUUCUCCAUACUGCCUCUGUCACUCAUGCACUGACACAAAUGUAGUGUCAAUAAUGGCAGGGGGCUGUUUGUAUAAUGAUCAUAUCUUCCCAGAUUGACGGGGUGCUAUCGGCUUUGUCUGUCACACAAAGAGAAGAGAGGCAGUGUGAGUACAAGUGGAUCACACACACAAACACACACUGAACCCCUCUAUCAUGGCGUCCUCCUAUAGACUUCCUGUGUCAACAGAAGCUUUGAUUAACUGGGGACAGGCAGUAGCCUUUGUAUUACUUGGACAAAAGCGGAGUUACAUGGUGAAUUUUUAUUGAAGACAGCACGCUGCAAGUUGUAGCAGUGGAAUUAUGAGGUACAGACUGGCACAGCAUGAAAGCUGUAAAAAGAAUAUUUGAUUUGAAUACAUCAAAUCAGUUUUCAUUUCAACCCUGCUGCUUAGUUUUUUCCGCUCCUUGUUUGUGAUUAAUACUCGGAAAGAAACAUUUAAAAAAAAAACUCCAUAUUUGCCAUCUCUCAUCUUGUAACUUUAGCUAGGAAUCAUCUAGAUAACAUAAAUUAAACACAGGCAAUUUCCCUCCCCACUGACAGUGUGAUUUUACCUUAAACUUCCAAUUAGCUGUCUGCACUUUAGCUAUCCAUCACUCCAGAAAGGCUUUCGCUACCCACCGAAUAAUGUACAUCAGCCACACUGGGAUCAAUUUGACUCUGAUGAUAGGCAUGUGGGCUGUAUCCAUCAAACCCGGCUAUUAAUGACAGCAAAGGGAAAUUAAUAUUUAAGCUGCUUUCAUGUACGGAGCCGGAUGUGACGGGACGUGAUGUCUGUGAGUGCACAUGAGUUUGUGGAUGCUGUGUGUGUGCGCUCACUUCCCUGAAGGCAGGACGAUUGUGUGUGUAGUAGCAGAUAAGUGAAAGGGCCUCUGCCUCUUUACCUGCUGGCAGGGUGUCUGCCAGCUGAAAAGCUGGCCAGUGCCAACAGGCCAACUGAAUGCCAAUCAGCAGUGGCCUGCAGGGCAUGUGUGGUCAACCUUUGUUAGAGGAGUGGGGUGAGAAGCUGAAUUGUGGACUUUGUAAUGUUUUAAUGAGCAAUGUGUGGGUGUAACUGCAUAUUAGAGUCGUAGGACAUAGUUGACAGGGUUCUGGUGGGGGCAGGCGACUGAUUUGGACACAUGCACUGGUAUGAGAGGAAAAGGAGUGUGUCUUGUCUGCUGAGGCAUCAAUGGAAGCUUGGUUCCCCCCAUAGAUGGCAGCAUUACACUCAGAGUCCCCCAUUCCUCUCACACCCCUCUAAAAACCAUUUAAUUGCAGCACUGGAAGGUCUUUCUCUAUGACACUGUUAAUCCAUAAAGGCAAGGCAAGGCAUCUUUAUUUGUAUAGCACAUUUCAGCAACAGGGCAAUUCAAAGUGCUUUACAUAAAACAUUAAAGAGCAGUUAAAAACGAGUAAAAACAAAAAUGUAAAUACGAUAAAGGGAAAUUCGCUGUUCACCUCAAGGAGAUCAACACAGGCUGUAGCAUCCUGGAACUGCUAGAGUCUCAGUUUCUGCUCAAGAAUACUAGGAAGGCCAGGUUACCGGCUUGGGUUGCUUAGUAAACCAGGUCAGAUUUAGACAGAUUUGAACUUGGUUUCAUUAAAAACGGACGGAAAAAGCUUUUUAUUUAAAUGCAACUUAAGUCCACUUUUUUGAGUUAGUUAGAAGUUGUUUCACUUUUUUUCCCAGAGAAAACAACAUAACAUUCCAACAUAUAAAUACAGCAAUCAACUCUCAGCAGUAUGGACAGUAUGGAGUAUGGAAGUAGUAGAAUUAGCACCUCUAUAACUUGUAAGUUUGUCGUUUACAGUGUUGAUCAGUGUUAUAUUGUGCCUGUGGCUAAUUUACACCCACCCUACUACCCAUUCAUAUGCCCAAUUAUGUCACUCUCUACGGUCUCUGAUAACUAUUUCUUGAAUUCUGGCUGACCAUCAGAUGUUAUAUUAAAAUGGCUGAAACACCAUAGAGGAACACCAACCUGACAGAGCUGUAAGGCGGUUGGACAGUGAAAAGGACGUGUUUAAUUUAAAACAGGGUGCUAAAUAGCUCUUUAACAGCUUUUCCGUAUCAUAUUGCAAGAACAAUAAUUUUUUUUUUUUUUGUAUCUUGAAUUGGUAAUUUGAAGUAGCACAGUUAUGUACCAGACUAUGUCUUGGCCGGAGUAACUGUGCCUGGCCAAGAAAUAGUCCGACCCAUAACCCCUUGUAACACCAUAACUUUUUUACUAGGGGUGCACGAUUCAGAAAAUGUCUCGAUUCGAUAUCGAUUUUCAGGCUCGAGAUUCGAUUCAAAAUCGAUUUCAAAUUCAAAAAUGAUUCUCGAUUAAAAAAAAAACGAUUCACGGUAUGUAAAUGUAGGGUAACACUUUUCCCAUGUGAUUGCAGUAGACAUACAAUUUAAUAGGGGUGUGCAAAAAAAUCCAUUCACAUUCAAAUCGCGAUUCAGGCUCUAUCGAUUCAUAUUUAUUUAUUUAUUUUUAAAUUGUAUGUCAACAGUAAUCACAUGGGAAAAGUAAUUACAUUUACAUACUGGGAAUCGUUUUUUUAAUAGGGAAUCAUUUCUGAAUCGAAAAUCAAAUCUUGAGCCUGAACAUCGAAUCGAAUAGCGAUAUUUUCUGAAUCGAUUUUGAAUCGGUAGAGCUUGAAUCGCGAUUCAAAUGUGAAUAGAUUUUUUUUGCACACCCCUAGUUUUUACGCUUUGGUUUUUGAACUAAAUGUAAGAUGUAGAGGUGCUGGUAAGAGUUUUUUCUACGAUUGGACAGAGCAAGGCUAGCUGUUUCCCUCUUCCAGUCUUCAUGCUUCGCUAAGCUGACUGGCUGCUGGCUUCGACAGACGUGAGAGUGGUAUCAGUCUUCUCAUCUAACUCUUGCAAAGCAAAUCAAUGCAUUUCCGAAAAUAUUGAAAUACGUCUCUAAUCCAGAGGACUGACUGAUUGGCACACACACCGGCACACAGCCUUCAAAAACUGGGUCACACAAUCCGUUGUACAGAUGCCUCUACAUACUGUUUACUAUCACGACCCAUGAAAUUGAUUCUUUUUAUCUGUAUGUUUGUGAGCGUUUUCACAGCGUGACACAGGUUGCUCUCCCUCUUUCCCUCCAUGCCCUCGCCAUACAGUACCUGGUAUGUCUGUGUUGUGUGCGAGAUACUCAUUUCAUGGUUCAUUUGUCGCCUCACGAGCUCCGUUAAUAAACAAGACCCUUUGUUGCCACUGUCUCUCUGACACCUCCCUGCGAGCGUGUGUGCGUGUCGGCUGUCAGCCGGCUUGUCUUCAGCUCUCGCGUGGGAUUAGGUGAGGCGUCAUGCUCCUCAGCAUCCCGCCAUCAUGUCGAUAGUGAACUCAUUACCAACUUCACCAGUACCCAUUUAGGGAUCAUAACUCCUUCCACCAACAAAUCAGUAAAUCUCAUUGUUCUCGGAUUGUGUGCCAAUGAAUUUUUGAAUUGAAAAAUGUUAUAUUUUGUAUGAACAGUUAAACUGGUAUUUUUUCUGCCUGUGUUUACUGUCUGUCCAUGUGUAUCUAUAUCUGUUUACUGUAUGUAUCAAUAUGAAAAAGACUGAUGAUGAAAAAAAAAAUUGCAUAAGAAUUGGUCAACGGCAGGGUUCAUCUCCCAUCUGCCCAGAAUGCAUCUGUGAUGGGAGAGAGCAGCACUAGCAUACAACCUCUCCUAGCAUUUUACGUAUUUUAAAGAAGCUCAGCGAGGCUGCCGCAGUCUGUUUCUUUGCAUUUUUUCUUGAAACACUUUCUGUAAAAUUCUUCUCUUUCAUAGCAAGCUUGUGAAACGCUUUGAGCACGAUGCACAAAAGAACAGUUGGCAUAAAUGGGACUAUAAUAAUAGCCUUGAUGAUUUUCAGAGUAGUGAAGUUUUUUUUGAACAUGUUUUUCAAAUGUGUUUAAUAAACUAAAGCAGACACAGUUAUGAUGAUGAAGAGAUAAUUCAUAUUAUUUUCACUUUAUGGCACGUUCUAUUAAAAAGCCGUUUCCUUGGAGCCUAACAUUGAAUAUUGAGUUUAUUUUUUCCACUCAGACAGCAUGAAGGAGUGUUUAUAUGUUGUAUUAUUAAAAGGGAGAGAGCCGAGACAGUGACUAAUCUAUUUCCUUUCACACACAGCAGCCAGUAAUCACUGUUCUAUGGAGCUGCUCACUCAUCCAUCCAUAAUGUUAUCAAGACACAUUAUCUAUGUGUGUUUUGCGAGCGCUUAUAUGUGUCCGUGCACUUGUGUGAUUUUUUUAGGGGCUUUGAAAGCUGGUGUUAAAAAUGCUAUAUGGACAUUCUUGUGUGUGCAAGAGUGCACAUUUGUGUUUCUAAGGAUUUAAAAAAAACUGCGUGUGUACCUUUGUGUCAGAGCUCCGUCCACACUGCAGAUCCAAAUGCAACACGUUCUCCCUGCAGCUUGUGGCUCGAUCUCACAUUGUCAGCUAGCGAAGGUCACACUCUAAUGUGUGAACAUCGGCCCCUCUGCCUAGUUGUGAAAGGCAGAGGUAGCUUUCUGCUUGGACAAGGCCACAGAAACAUGUCUUCCUGCUGUUUGUUUUAUUACAGGGUCCGGCUUACUGUGCUGCCACUGGGGUCUCUAUAUUAUCUAUCUGUGUGACAGUGUGCAGUGCUGUGGAUAUUUUAAAUAUAUGUACAAACUGGAAUUUAUGCAGAUACAGGUGAAUGGCUCGUGGUUUUGAUUAUAACAUACAAGGGACGGAUGCGUUGGGAUGCAGAAGGGGUCAUGACGGUCACAAACAACAGGAGGAUCUUCAAAAAGUGAGAUGAGGUGUAGCAGUGAUCCUCGUGAGAGUGUCUGGACCCCGACCUUUACCUCCACGUGACCCCAGCUCUGUUUUACUGCCCCUCAGCCUGCUAGCACCCACACCUGUCGUCACCCAUUAGAUAGUAUGGCACACAACGCCACAGGAGCAGCUGCAUCUGUCAGCCAGUACAUUGCACUGACAUGGUUGGAGGUAAUCCACUGUUGAUUGGCUGUAAACCAAGACAAGCAUAUCAGCUGGAGUGAGAAUGAGUUCCAUGGGUUUGUGCCUUGCUGGAAUAGAGAGCUGGAUAACGUCUGCGCUAUGAAUAGUCAUCUCCAAUCUGACCUCACAAGACCAAGCACAUUAUGGUGUGUUGUUCACACACAUUCACACGCGCACAAAAUUGAACUGAAAACAUGGUUAAAAAAAAACUUGAUCCAGUUCUUCCGGACACGGAGUCCACAGAGUGCCAGACAUCGCCAGCGGGCUCAAGAAAACAGUGGUGUGUGUGUCUGUCAGUUGGCUGUUCUUUCUAUGUUUAUGUGCAUCUAUGUGUGUGGGAGUGUUUGAAGGAACCAGAAGUGACUUGAAUAUGUACUGUGAGCAAGUAUGUAUGCACACAG
This is a long non-coding RNA of Perca fluviatilis (European perch), 11330 nucleotides long. RefSeq lists it as uncharacterized. Lineage: Eukaryota; Metazoa; Chordata; Actinopteri; Perciformes; Percidae. The record is from RefSeq and is a predicted model, not a curated record. The transcript has 4 exons.